UAGGCCGGCCUCUUCACUGAGGCCCCCUGGAGACGGGAGCAGCCCGCCGGCGGCCAACUAAACUCUUGUUUCUAAGUGAAUCUCUGAGUAAAAAACAUAAAUGAAUCAAAACUUUCAACAACGGAUCUCUUGGUUCUGGCAUCGAUGAAGAACGCAGCGAAAUGCGAUAAGUAAUGUGAAUUGCAGAAUUCAGUGAAUCAUCGAAUCUUUGAACGCACAUUGCGCCCCCUGGUAUUCCGGGGGGCAUGCCUGUUCGAGCGUCAUUUCAACCCUCAAGCCUGGCUUGGUGAUGGGGCACUGCUUCGAAGGAGCAGGCCCUGAAAUUCAGUGGCGAGCUCGCCAGGACCCCGAGCGUAGUAGUUAUAUCUCGCUUGGAAGGCCCUGGCGGUGCCCUGCCGUUAAACCCCCAACUUCUGAAAAUUUGACCUCGGAUCAGGUAGGAAUACCCGGUGAACUUAAGCAUAUCAAUAAGCGGAGG
RNAcentral lists this ribosomal RNA (478 nucleotides) under Diaporthe helianthi. Its description in RNAcentral is "eukaryotic LSU rRNA". The stretch from base 110 to 263 matches the Rfam family "5.8S ribosomal RNA". Lineage: Eukaryota; Fungi; Ascomycota; Sordariomycetes; Diaporthales; Diaporthaceae. The record is from RNAcentral.